Molecule: ribosomal RNA, 374 nt
Filed under: uncultured prokaryote
Description: bacterial SSU rRNA
Rfam family: Bacterial small subunit ribosomal RNA
Source: RNAcentral
UACAGAGACUGCAAGCGUUACUCGGAUUCACUGGGCGUAAAGGGAGCGCAGGCGGACUCGUGUGUCGGACGUGAAAUACCGGGGCUUAACCCCGGUGCUGCGUCCGAAACUACGAGUCUAGAGACUUGGAGGGGUAAGCGGAAUUCUUGGUGGAGCAGUGAAAUGCGUAGAUAUCAAGAGGAACACCAACGGCGAAGGCAGCUUACUGGACAAGAUCUGACGCUCAGGCUCGAAAGCGUGGGGAGCAAAAGGGAUUAGAUACCCCUGUAGUCCACGCUGUAAACGGUGCGCAUUAGGUCUUGGAGCUUUCGAACGCUCCAGGGCUCAAGCUAACGCGAUAAAUGCGCCGCCUGAGGACUACGGCCGCAAGGCUA